CGCGGGGUGGAGCAGUGGUAGCUCGUUGGGCUCAUAACCCAAAGGUCGCAGGUUCGAAUCCUGCCCCCGCAA
Molecule: transfer RNA, 72 nt
Filed under: bacterium
Lineage: Bacteria
Also listed under: 2 other names
Description: tRNA-Met
Rfam family: tRNA
About the family: Transfer RNA (tRNA) molecules are approximately 80 nucleotides in length. Their secondary structure includes four short double-helical elements and three loops (D, anti-codon, and T loops).
Source: RNAcentral